GAUAAACGCUGGCGGCGUGCUUAACACAUGCAAGUCGAACGAAGUUUUUCUUUCGGGAGGAACUUAGUGGCGGACGGGUGAGUAACGCGUGGGUAACCUGCCCUGUACAGGGGGACAACAGCUGGAAACGGCUGCUAAUACCGCAUAAGCCCUUAGCACUGCAUGGUGCAUAGGGAAAAGGAGCAAUCCGGUACAGGAUGGACCCGCGUCUGAUUAGCCAGUUGGCAGGGUAACGGCCUACCAAAGCGACGAUCAGUAGCCGAUCUGAGAGGAUGUACGGCCACAUUGGGACUGAGACACGGCCCAGACUCCUACGGGAGGCAGCAGUGGGGAAUAUUGCACAAUGGAGGAAACUCUGAUGCAGCGACGCCGCGUGAGUGAAGAAGUAUUUCGGUAUGUAAAGCUCUAUCAGCAGGAAAGAAAAUGACGGUACCUGAAGAAGAAGCACCGGCUAAAUACGUG
This 462-nucleotide ribosomal RNA is filed under the name uncultured bacterium. RNAcentral's name for it is "partial 16S ribosomal RNA". It matches the Rfam family "Bacterial small subunit ribosomal RNA", at positions 28 to 507 of the family's 1533-position model. The record is from RNAcentral.